CCUCAUCCUUCAGCAAACCACCAAACCUGGCUUUGAGAUCAUCCACGACGAUGUUGAUGGCCACCUCCAUGUGCUGCUGGAGAUUGGUGAGCUCUCAUCCUAACACACCUGGAAUCUCCUCUCAUCACCCUGCUGCUGAGCAAGCAUGGUCUGGAUCUUCUCCAGCAUGCCUCCUGCCUCCUGCUUUUGCCCUAAGCUUUAGAGCUUCCAGUCUGGUCACUGUUUUCAAAUCUCACUUGGCUUGGGGGAGGAUCAGGUCAUUCCUUUUCAGGGUGAGGCUAAGUGAGGAUAGCUCCUCAAACAUGUCUGAGGGAAAAUGGCAGAAUACACAAGAGUGCAUUCUCCAUUUCCCACUUUAUCUGUUAAGUAGUGAGUAAAUAAACUGUCACCUGUCAA
Non-coding RNA from Salmo salar (Atlantic salmon), 396 nucleotides. The record is from RefSeq and is a predicted model, not a curated record. Lineage: Eukaryota; Metazoa; Chordata; Actinopteri; Salmoniformes; Salmonidae.